UGGGGAAUAUUGGGCAAUGGGCGCAAGCCUGACCCAGCCAUGCCGCGUGAGUGAUGAAGGCCUUCGGGUCGUAAAGCUCUGUGGGGAGGGAAGAAACCGCUUACUGAUAAUACCAGUGAGUCUUGACGGUACCUCCUUAGCAAGCACCGGCUAACUCCGUGCCAGCAGCCGCGGUAAUACGGAGGGUGCAAACGUUGCUCGGAAUCAUUGGGCGUAAAGCGCACGUAGGCGGCCUGUUAAGUCGGAUGUGAAAGCCCUGGGCUCAACCCAGGAAGUGCAUACGAAACUGGCAGGCUUGAAUAUGGAAGAGGGUCGCGGAAUUCCCGGUGUAGAGGUGAAAUUCGUAGAUAUCGGGAGGAACACCAGUGGCGAAGGCGGCGACCUGGGCCAAUAUUGACGCUGAGGUGCGAAAGCGUGGGGAGCAAACAG
This 429-nucleotide ribosomal RNA is filed under the name uncultured bacterium. RNAcentral describes it as "bacterial SSU rRNA". It matches the Rfam family "Bacterial small subunit ribosomal RNA", at positions 355 to 775 of the family's 1533-position model. The record is from RNAcentral.